CAGGGGUUGAAGGGAGGGCAGGGGAAUGGGGAAAAAGUAAGAACAAAGAUGAUUAUGUAAAGGUGCAAAUUUCCAAUGAUGAGUGUCAUUAUAUUGUAUACCUUAAAUGUACCAAUACAAUUAAUUUAUUUUAAAAAAAGAGUACAGGCUAAAAGACAACUUUCAGGAAACAGAAGGAACUGAGGAACAGGUCAAACAAUGGCGUGAGGAUGCAGCCAUUGCAGACUGCAGAUAUGGACAACUACACAACAAGCGGCCUGGAUUUCCCAACGGAAAACCGCAAGGGCAGGAGGGCGUGUGGCCCAGCCAGCCCGAGGAGCAGAAGAGACUCACACGCGUGAGCCAGGCAACCUUCUUGGAUCCCAGUUCAAACACGCUGGAAAUAAGUAUGAGUCAACUGAGAAAUAUAAAUACCAACAGCAUAUUUAAUGAUGCUGAGAAAGUCUGUUAGUGUAAUAAUAUUACUGGAGUUGUUGUCUUAAGAAUAACUUUAUAUUAAUAAAUAACAUGAUGCGAUGUCUGGAAAGGCUUCAGAUGUGUGGCAGGCAGGGUAGUAGGGUGAGCGGUGGGUGUGGGUGUAGAAACUCCUCUGUCUACAAUAUAAAAAGGGUUUUAUUUCUCCCAAAAUCCAUAUGGCUGCAUUCUUCAACAGGUCAAAACAAUAUCAUAACUGAGAAACACAGGACAGUAUGACCUGAUAAUAACUACGAGAUCUAAUCAUUGGAUGUGACCAAGGGAGGAGAGGACGUCAGUAAUAAUAAAACGGAACCACACAUCUUGUCUCAAGCAGUACAGCCACGCCCUGGGAUCUCUGCAGCCCGAGACUGUCCUCCAAACAAAGGCCACGUGUCCCCGGGCGGCAAGGCUCAGGGGAGCAGGACACCACUGCAGAGGAGCUCUAACUCCACCGCACUGGGAGCAACGGCUCCCCCUCUGGGUCAGCCAGCCCGUGUCCCUGGACGGCAGCGCAUCGGUCUCCAGCAGCCCUAGGCGCAGCCCUCUGGGCUCGGGGCGGUCCACCCUCGCCCCCCACAGCAGACAGCAGCUGGCCUCAGGCCGAAGCUGUGCACCUCAGCAGCCAGCAGUGCUCUCGCCCUACCGUGAUGCCCACGCAGCAGUGCUCCAAGUCCAGCUCCUGAAAUCCCCGCCCUCCCUGUGCCGCCUGCGACACGGCACCCAGUCCAUUAGCGCCACCUCUCCGCCACCCCACCCGGAGAGUCAGAAGGGCGCUGUGUAACUGCCCAGCCACGAACCGGUCAGUGGUAUCUACGGCCUCCGCCUGAGUCCGGCGUCCUCCGCCAUGGCUCCCACGCCCUCCUUUCCUGUGUCUCAAAUGCGCCCUGACUUUUCCAGUCUCUAAAACUGUAUGUCACUCGCGCCUCCUACCCAGAACCCCUUCCCCACACUCUCCAGGGGUAAAUCAGGAGCCGGCUCCAGCGCACCAAUUCCCUGAGCGGCUCUGCCUAGGCAGAGAGAUCUCCCCGCCUGACCCUGUGUCACACAGGGUUUUCACCUGACACACCACUGCCGGAAAGCUGCGGCUUUUCUAUAAAUUGUCUCCCCCAUUACAAGCCCUUCGGCAGAAAGGAAAGAGCUGUGCCCAUCCCGCGCCGCCUAACCCUCCGCUCUGCCCGAGGCGUGCGCAGGACGUACGCCCGCUGACACAUGUGCCAGCGCGGGACUCGGAGCUCAGCCACUGCUCUAUCGACACCCGCAAAAGCGCGCUGCCCCCGCACGGAGAGGCUCCUCGGAUUUAGCGUGCGUCUUCUCCUGGCGCGGCCACUAUCGCCCUUUUUGUUUCCUGGAAUACUCGAGGCUUUUCUCUGUUUAAAACAAACGUGGCGUGGCAUGGCGGUGCACGCCCGUGAUCCCAGAAGCACUCUGAGAGGCUGAGGCAGGAGGAUUACAAAUUCGAGCCCAGUCUGGGCAAUUUAGCAAGACCAGGUCUCAGAGAUAAAAAGUGGAAAAAGGCGGCGGGGGCGGGGUGGCUGGGGAUGCGGCUCAGUGGGAAGGCCCUGGCCUCCGUACCAGACUGCAGGAAAAUGAGGCGGUUCAUGGGGUACUGGAGGGCUCCCUUUAAGUCAGAGGAACACUGAUCCGCAGCUAUUUGAUGCUGCCAGUUCCCUCCUCUGCUGCCAUAACCUGCCCUGCUAAGAAAGAUUCAGAUUAAUGAAGGUGGAUGCCACAACCUGCCUCAGGAGGGACCCUUCCCCUUAGCGAAAAUACCCAGGAACUGCCCCAUCUGAAAAGGUAUUUUGCCUCAGGGCCAGCGCUCUUCUCUCUUCAAGAACCACAACAUAUUUGAAUUCUUAACCCGUGCUGCCUUGGAGGCUCUCCACCACGCUCCAG
Long non-coding RNA from Fukomys damarensis (Damara mole-rat), 2349 nucleotides. The record is from Ensembl. NCBI's taxonomy places the organism in Eukaryota, Metazoa, Chordata, Mammalia, Rodentia, Bathyergidae.